RNAcentral lists this ribosomal RNA (692 nucleotides) under uncultured Bacteroides sp. RNAcentral's name for it is "bacterial SSU rRNA". It matches the Rfam family "Bacterial small subunit ribosomal RNA", at positions 34 to 715 of the family's 1533-position model. The record is from RNAcentral. Lineage: Bacteria; Pseudomonadati; Bacteroidota; Bacteroidia; Bacteroidales; Bacteroidaceae.
CGCUAGCUACAGGCUUAACACAUGCAAGUCGAGGGGCAGCAUGGUCUUAGCUUGCUAAGGCCGAUGGCGACCGGCGCACGGGUGAGUAACACGUAUCCAACCUGCCGUCUACUCUUGGACAGCCUUCUGAAAGGAAGAUUAAUACAAGAUGGCAUCAUGAGUCCGCAUGUUCACAUGAUUAAAGGUAUUCCGGUAGACGAUGGGGAUGCGUUCCAUUAGAUAGUAGGCGGGGUAACGGCCCACCUAGUCUUCGAUGGAUAGGGGUUCUGAGAGGAAGGUCCCCCACAUUGGAACUGAGACACGGUUCAAACUCCUACGGGAGGCAGCAGUGAGGAAUAUUGGUCAAUGGGCGAGAGCCUGAACCAGCCAAGUAGCGUGAAGGAUGACUGCCCUAUGGGUUGUAAACUUCUUUUAUAAAGGAAUAAAGUCGGGUAUGGAUACCCGUUUGCAUGUACUUUAUGAAUAAGGAUCGGCUAACUCCGUGCCAGCAGCCGCGGUAAUACGGAGGAUCCGAGCGUUAUCCGGAUUUAUUGGGUUUAAAGGGAGCGUAGAUGGAUGUUUAAGUCAGUUGUGAAAGUUUGCGGCUCAACCGUAAAAUUGCAGUUGAUACUGGAUAUCUUGAGUGCAGUUGAGGCAGGCGGAAGUCGUGGUGUAGCGGUGAAAUGCUUAGAUAUCACGAAAAAGUCCGAUUG